CCCCUGCGGUGAUGAUGACGACAUUUCUGUCUUUUUUCUGAAAAUGAUUGAUGUUUUUAAGUCACUACCUCAUCUGAGCUUGUA
This is a small nucleolar RNA of Takifugu rubripes (torafugu), 84 nucleotides long. Ensembl annotates it as small nucleolar RNA SNORD11B. The record is from Ensembl. Lineage: Eukaryota; Metazoa; Chordata; Actinopteri; Tetraodontiformes; Tetraodontidae.